This 5523-nucleotide long non-coding RNA is filed under the name Marmota monax (woodchuck). Lineage: Eukaryota; Metazoa; Chordata; Mammalia; Rodentia; Sciuridae. The record is from RNAcentral.
GUGUGGGUCUGCUGUAAUUUUGUACUUUUGGGGUCCUGUAAGCCUCUUGUAUUUGAUUUUCAACUCCAUUCUUUAGGUUUGAAAAAUUUUCUGCUAUAACAUCAUUGAAAGAUUUUGGAUUCCUUUGGUUUGUAUCUCUGCUCCUUUAUCUAUUCUGAUAACUCUUAAAUUUGGCCUUUUCAUGUUAUACCAUAAUUCUUGGAUGUUAUGUUCAUGGUUUCUUACCAUCUUCUCCACAUGUUUAACUCUACUUUCAAGGUUAUAUAUUUUGUCUUCAUUGUCUGUGGUUCUGUCUUCCAAGUGAUCUAAUCUGUUGGUGAUACUUUCAAUUGAAUUUAUAAUUUGGUUUACUGAUUUCUGCAUUUUGAGGAUUUUUAUUUUUUUAACUCUUUAUUGAAGUGGUCUUUCACAUCCAGUAUUUUUCUUUGAUUUCUCUCCUUAUACUAUACUUCACAUAUCAGUUUAACCACAUAUGGUCUGAACUCCUUCUUAGACAUUUCUUCUACUGUGUUAUCAGUGACUUCUGUUGUUGAAGCAUCUUGGUUUGUUUGGUGUGCUUUAUUCCCUUGUUUUUUUCAUGCUGUUAGUGUUCUUUCCUACCUAAAAGUAUGGAUCUAAGUCAAGAUAAAUUCUACCCUGUAGACCUAUAGUGUCCCUGAAGGUUUCCAGUGCUUUGCCUUUACUGGUAAGACCAAUAUCAACAGGACCCAAUGAACACAAUAACUUAACCUUAUAACCUAAUAACUCCCUUAAACCUAAUAACUCCCACUAAGGCAUCUACUGCUUUCUCACACAGAACCAAAAAUAAUUAUUUCAAUAACUAUCUGUAGUAUAAACAAAAUAUUUGCUAAAACAAUUUAUGAUUUAAAAUGGUGAAUGAGAGAACAGAGGUAGUGUAGUAUGCAAUAUUCAUGAGGGAGGAAGAUAGAAGCUAGAAGUAAAAAUUCACAGGAAGUGUGGAAUAAUAACCAACAGAGAUUGACUGUUGGUUGGAGAAAGAAAGUCCAAGAAAAUAGAAAAGAUAAAGGAAGAAUACAAACAAAGAGGAAAAAAAUAAAGACAUAAGAGUACAACAAAAAUGCAAAACACCAUUCAUAUAUCAUUGUCCUCCACACACUGAUGCAUAAAAAACAACCUGUUCCAGAUAUGGUAGAGAGAUUCGUGAAUUAAAAAAUAAAAUAAAAUAAAUCAUGCUGUAAAGUCGAACUGUCAGUGUUCAUCAGUUUCUCAUCCCUAUCUCUGACAUCUCUUGGGAUCACCAAACCCAGAUUAGCCCUUGCAAACCCAGCCUCUAUCCCACCAAUCUGAACUUCAGAUACCUCAGGAUUGGCCACACUGCAGUCCCAAGAUCUCAAAUGCUGCUCAUACUUGCUGAGAGACCACCAGGGAUACACUCAUGCAAAGGAGCAACUCUGAGAUGCAGCAGCAGCAAGACAAUGGCCACCAGCACUCUCACCAGGAAGACCCCAGGCUCCUCCAAACCUUCUGGCACCCCCUCACUGGACCUGCAUGUCCCAACGGGAGUCCCCAGAGAGGCUCCUGUGGUGGUAAACCUGCUGGCACCCAGGCCCCCACACUGGCUAGUGUCCCCAAAUGGGUGCAGCCACAUGCAACCAAACCUUAAGUCUCCCUCGAAGUAGUCCUCUAGGCUAUGGUAGCAGCGGUAGUGGUGGUGGUUGCUGGCAGCGAGUCAGCAGUAGUGGUGGUUGCAGCGGUAGCUACAAUAGCAACUGAGGGGGCAUUGUAUCUAGGUGAUCUCCAGGGUCAGCAGCAGUGUAGGCUUCAGUUGCAUCCAAGGCAGUGGUUUCCUUCUGUGGCAGUAGCAUCCAGAAAGAAGACCUCCAUAGGAUCUCAGGCUGGUGGCAGCGGAAUCAGAGGCAGCAAUGGAGUUAGCAGUGCAAGUGGCGGUUGACUGACAGGAGACUUCCGGUUCAGCAGCAGCUACCUCCGAGGUAGCAAAGGAAUUCACCUCAGAGGUACCUGAGGCCUUGCCCAGAGAGGAGACCUCCAGCAUGGCAGUGACUUCUGCGGCAGCCCAGAAAGAAGACCUCUAGGUGAGUUUAGGCUGGCGGCAGCAGAAUCAGAGACAGCAAUGGCGGUUGCGUUGCCGGAGGCGGUUGAUUGACAGGAGACUUCCGGUUCAGCAGCAGUUACUUCUGAGAUAGCAAAGGAAUUCACCUCAGAGGUACCUGAGGCCUUGCCCAGAGAGGAGACCUCCGGAACGUCAGUGACUUCUGCGGUAGCCCAGAAAAAAAAGACGUCCAGGUGAUCUCAGGCUGGCAGCUGCAGAAUCAGAGGCAACAAUGGUGAGGGCCGCGAUUGAUAGACAGGAGACUUCCGGUUCAACGGCUUAUUUUUAAUUUUUCUUAAUUAAUUACAUUUUCUAUACUUUGUGUAGUUUGUUUUUUAUUUAAAUAUGUCUUAAAUAAUUUAUUUAUAUAAUUUAUUGUAGAUAGAAUACAUAUUUGACAGAUUUGACGUUCUUAUAAUAAAUUUAGAUUUUUUUUUGUUAAAUAUACUACUAUUUAAUUUCAAUGAUUUUUAAAAAAAGUAUGACAAAUUCUGAACCUGUUUUUGCUUUUUAGUGCAUUCUAGUUAUAAAUAAUGGUGGGGUCAUGGUUAACAUUUUCAUAAAUACACGUAGUUUUCUUCAUUUCAAUACUCAUUACUCCCUCUUUUCAUGCUUUCUUCUGUCCCCUUAGUCCCUUUGUCCAGCACUACUGUUCUUCCAUUUAUUUAUUUUCAUUUAAAAAAAUUGUUCCUUUUAGAUAUACAUGACAGUAGAUUGUAUUUUGGAAUAGAAGGUACAAAUGAAGAAAUAUUUCCACCCCUUGCCCUAGACAUAGGUCUGACCUGCUGAGAAGUCCUGUGGUAAAGCAACUUGCCAGAGAGGCACAGCCUAGGGGAAGUCAGGAAGUCCUAAACACCUCACAGUUUUUACAGGUCACAGGGCAUUGCAUGCAUGCCGGAGCCUGGCUGGCUGCAGCAAAAUAACCCGGGGGGUGACGAAUAACUUGUGUACGUUGAUACAGCAGGAGUAGGAGCCAUUUAUUGCAGGACAGGAGCAGUAUUUAUAUAUUCCACACAGCUUAUCUAAUUAGCAUAAACUAGAUACAUCAGUCAACCAAUAAGGAAUCUCCACACUUAAUGGUUCGCUUUUGUUACUUCUCAAACCACUCCCUCUGGCAUUUUGCCAGGCACCAUCCAGACUUGUUUACGAACACUAACAUUCCCCUGGCAAAAUGCCAGGUGUUAUUUUGACUUGUUUACAGACUCUAACACAUGCACACACAUGCCACAUGGCUCAGAGGAAAUUUCCUUGGCAGAUCUGAGGAGACAAUUUCCAGUCAAUGUGGGAGAACUAGGGUCUUGUCAGAAACCUAGGAAUCCAACCCUCCUUUUAAGCACAGGUGUGAAGGGAAGGGAAGGUAUAACAGUGGGAACUUUCAGGCCCCCCUAAUCCCAGGUGGGUGUGGUGCCUAUGAUGUUGUUGUUGCAUGGUCUUACCUGGGAGGUGGAGCUCCCACAGGUCAGGGUCUGCAGGAAAGCUGCAACAAUUCACUAAAGCUACCUUGCAUUCAAGUGCAUCUAUAGACACUUUUCUGCUCCUUGUAGUGGCCUUGGCUAAGGCAGAGACCAGCAAAGGUAUUGCAGGUGUUAGGUGAUGCCACACUUUGUCAUAAGCAUCAGUCCUGAUCUUCUGCCAAUGAUAGAACCAAGCCUGGCUCACUGUUACCCUGGAUACUAUGCCUCCAGAACUUAGUGUGCAGUCUAGGCUUUAUUCUUUUUGUUGUGCUGUGUCUUGGAACUAGCAGUUCAAGAGGCACCAGUCUCUUCGUACUUCCCUAGAUGGGCUAGGUAAUUUAAUGCCCCAAGUUAGGGCCCAAAGGACCUUAAUAAAUGUGAUUCUGGGACAGCAGUAUGGAUGCAAGUUUCCACACAAGGACACAUCACUGCCGGCCAAUAGCCUGCAGCCAAGCCAAGUUCACAACUUCAGAGAAACUCUUCUGCUACUCCCAAGAAUUCAUUCCUCUUUAUUCUGACAGCAAUUGUCUAAUAUGUCCCGACACUGGUGCUGUUACAUCCUGGUCAUCACUAAUUCCUAUGGAAAAAAGUGUACUUCAGCUUAACCUGAUUUUCUCAGGAACUUGCUCAAGACAGCAUCUCUUCAUCUAGCAUAUGGUUCCCAAACUGUGCCUAAUCAAAUUCCUUUUAAGUUUGUCCAGAGUAGCAUUAUUAAUCCAAUGUGCCAAUAUUGGGCCAAGAGAACACUCAGGAAUGUGACUUUCUGGGGCCCCAGACUGGGUGCUGGUUUGCACUCUUACACGGUUCCCAGUCCAACCUGGGCCAAGUCAAGGACACUUCCUCAGAGAAACAAUUCUCUCUCCCACCCCGAAUUUCCUGCUCCCUAUUCUGCCACAAAUGGUUUCAGAAUGCCUGAAACCAGAAACCUUAAAUCCCAGCUGUCCUCAAUUUCUGUGGGAAACAUUCUAUUUAGCUUGCCAUCCUUCUAAUAGUACUUAAGGCAGAGCAAAAUUCUCAGUCCAUCCCCUGGCUCCCAUCUGUGACCAAUACAGCUCUGAAGUCCUGACAGGGGUGGGGGGGAUUAUUCCAGUAAGCCAAUCAUAGGCCAGAACAACCCUGAGUGAUGAGAAUUUCCAAGUCCUCAUCCUGGGUGCACUUAUCCAUCCAUAUGAACUUCACAUCCAGACCCAAACUUGGGACCAAUGACAUCCGAUGACCAGGAGAACCUACGCUUCUUUUAGGACAUUCUUCCUCUGUUUUUUCUAACAAGAAUAUCCUCAGGUUGUGUGUAAAAGGCAAGUUUUUAUCCUGAUUCACCUACUUUAAAAGAAAAUUUAUCUCAACUUUAGAAAACUGAUCCUAGAGUUAUCACAGGUAAAGUACUUUUAGGGGGUCCUGAUACCCACAUGUGACCAAUCUAAGUCUUGUCAGGGGAAGCGUAGCUCUAAUGUUCAUGUUUGGGCCAUAAGAACCUACAGGAAUGUGCCUUUGUAAUUUGGUCCUAGUAGGAACAGAUCUCCCUGCAUGCAACUUUUACAUGUUACCACAAAUAUUUGGCCUAUCCAAGCACCCUCACUAAUAUAAAUAUUUCUUAUCUUUCCAGGAAUUUCUUUAUCCCUCUUCAUCCCAUAAAUGGCCUCAGGUUGCCUGCAGCUGGCUCAGUUGGAGACUGUGUAUCACCUGCUUCUGUGGCAAAAAUUUUACUUCCACUCUUUCUGCUUCUCCUAGUAGUUGGGAUGCAGUAAGUUUCUUCAUCCAGUCCUUGGAUGUUCAGCUAUGAAUACUAGAUCUCCUUAUAAAACUGUCUAGGAGAAGAGAAGGUAAUUCACAAGUCCAAAAGAUGUUCCAGAAGAAUCCAUAGAACUCUUCAUAAACAUGGCUUUAUAAGACAUCAGACUUGUUGCAGGUUUUCAUACAUGAGCACAUCACAGCCCAUUCAUAAUCUGUGGUCAAGCUAAGACUUUCCCCUGAGAGAAAGUGUUGUUCUCUGCCUAGGAA